GCGGGACACGUGGUAUCCUGUCUGAAUAUGGGGGGACCAUCCUCCAAGGCUAAAUACUCCUGACUGACCGAUAGUGAACCAGUACCGUGAGGGAAAGGCGAAAAGAACCCCGGCGAGGGGAGUGAAAAAGAACCUGAAACCGUGUACGUACAAGCAGUGGGAGCCUCUUAAUGGGGUGACUGCGUACCUUUUGUAUAAUGGGUCAGCGACUUAUAUUCUGUAGCAAGGUUAACCGAAUAGGGGAGCCGAAGGGAAACCGAGUCUUAACUGGGCGUUAAGUUGCAGGGUAUAGACCCGAAACCCGGUGAUCUAGCCAUGGGCAGGUUGAAGGUUGGGUAACACUAACUGGAGGACCGAACCGACUAAUGUUGAAAAAUUAGCGGAUGACUUGUGGCUGGGGGUGAAAGGCCAAUCAAACCGGGAGAUAGCUGGUUCUCCCCGAAAGCUAUUUAGGUAGCGCCUCGUGAAUUCAUCUCCGGGGGUAGAGCACUGUUUCGGCAAGGGGGUCAUCCCGACUUACCAACCCGAUGCAAACUGCGAAUACCGGAGAAUGUUAUCACGGGAGACACACGGCGGGUGCUAACGUCCGUCGUGAAGAGGGAAACAACCCAGACCGCCAGCUAAGGUCCCAAAGUCAUGGUUAAGUGGGAAACGAUGUGGGAAGGCCCAGACAGCCAGGAUGUUGGCUUAGAAGCAGCCAUCAUUUAAAGAAAGCGUAAUAGCUCACUGGUCGAGUCGGCCUGCGCGGAAGAUGUAACGGGGCUAAACCAUGCACCGAAGCUGCGGCAGCGACACUAUGUGUUGUUGGGUAGGGGAGCGUUCUGUAAGCCUGUGAAGGUGGCCUGUGAGGGGUGCUGGAGGUAUCAGAAGUGCGAAUGCUGACAUAAGUAACGAUAAAGCGGGUGAAAAGCCCGCUCGCCGGAAG
RNAcentral lists this ribosomal RNA (925 nucleotides) under Escherichia coli. Its description in RNAcentral is "partial 23S ribosomal RNA". It matches the Rfam family "Bacterial large subunit ribosomal RNA", at positions 417 to 1343 of the family's 2925-position model. The record is from RNAcentral. Lineage: Bacteria; Pseudomonadati; Pseudomonadota; Gammaproteobacteria; Enterobacterales; Enterobacteriaceae.